This is a long non-coding RNA of Mauremys reevesii (Reeves's turtle), 408 nucleotides long. RefSeq lists it as uncharacterized. The record is from RefSeq and is a predicted model, not a curated record. The transcript is spliced from 3 exons. NCBI's taxonomy places the organism in Eukaryota, Metazoa, Chordata, Testudines, Geoemydidae.
UGUGGUUCUACUGAUGUUCUCUUUAGCCCCCUUCUCAGUCAGAAGACUCCUGAACCAGAGCCCCAAAGGAAGGGAGGAUGUGUUUGUCUGGCUUGUACCUAAGACUACACUGAUGCCCAGAGACUAACUAUGGUCUGCCCUCGCAUCCUGGGAGAUAUGCUGUGUGCCAGGGGCCCAUGUCUGAGACAUUACAGAAGGAUUGCUGAGGAUCAUCCAGCCCUCUGACUACUAUGCCAUGCUGCUCAUCCAUGGUACUGCAAGAAACUUGCUGAUGGUGCUGAGAUAAUCUGGUUUUCUCCUGGGACCACUGAGAACAGCAGCUGAAUCACUGUCUGGUAGCAACAUGAAUUCUUUGGGAGAGGAUUUGUACUUCAUUGCAUGGUUCCAAAUGAAUGUGAAUACAACUGC